GAUGAAGAACGUAGUGAAAUGCGAUAAGUAAUGUGAAUUGCAGAAUUCAGUGAAUCAUCGAAUCUUUGAACGCACAUUGCGCCCGCCAGCACUCUGGCGGGCAUGCCUGUUCGAGCGUCAUUUCAACCCUCAGGCCCCCGGGCCUGGCGUUGGGGAUCGGCGGAGCCCCCCGUGGGCACACGCCGUCCCCCAAAUGCAGUGGCGGUCCCGCCGCAGCUUCCAUCGCGUAGUAGCUAACACCUCGCGACUGGAGAGCGGCGCGGCCACGCCGUAAAACACCCAACUCUUCUGAAGUUGACCUCGAAUCAGGUAGGAAUACCCGCUGAACUUAAGCAUAUCAAUAAGCGGAGGA
RNAcentral lists this unclassified non-coding RNA (352 nucleotides) under soil metagenome. RNAcentral's name for it is "partial contains 5.8S ribosomal RNA, internal transcribed spacer 2, and large subunit ribosomal RNA". The stretch from base 1 to 120 matches the Rfam family "5.8S ribosomal RNA", at positions 35 to 154 of the family's 154-position model. The record is from RNAcentral.